This 465-nucleotide ribosomal RNA is filed under the name Proteocatella sp. canine oral taxon 032. RNAcentral's name for it is "bacterial SSU rRNA". It matches the Rfam family "Bacterial small subunit ribosomal RNA", at positions 9 to 454 of the family's 1533-position model. Lineage: Bacteria; Bacillati; Bacillota; Clostridia; Peptostreptococcales; Filifactoraceae. The record is from RNAcentral.
GAGUUUGAUUAUGGCUCAGGAUGAACGCUGGCGGCGUGCUUAACACAUGCAAGUCGAGCGGAGUUUACAAUGGAAAGAUCUUCGGAAAUGGAAGCUGUAAACUUAGCGGCGGACGGGUGCGUAACGCGUGGGUAAUCUGCCCCUAUCAUCGGGAUAACACAUCGAAAGAUGUGCUAAUACCGAAUAACAUACUUUUUUGGCAUCAAGAGAGUAUCAAAGUGUUAGCGGAUAGGGAUGAGCCUGCGUCUGAUUAGCUAGUUGGUGGGGUAAAGGCCUACCAAGGCGACGAUCAGUAGCCGACCUGAGAGGGUGAUCGGCCACACUGGAACUGAGACACGGUCCAGACUCCUACGGGAGGCAGCAGUGGGGAAUAUUGCACAAUGGGCGCAAGCCUGAUGCAGCAAUCGCCGCGUGAGCGAAGAAGGUCUUCGGAUCGUAAAGCUCUGUCGCAUGGGAAGAUAAUGA